UACGUAGGGUGCGAGCGUUAAUCGGAAUUACUGGGCGUAAAGCGUGCGCAGGCGGUUUUGUAAGUCAGAUGUGAAAUCCCCGGGCUUAACCUGGGAAUGGCAUUUGGGACUGCAAGGCUGGAGUGCGGCAGAGGAGACUGGAAUUCCUGGUGUAGCGGUGAAAUGCGCAGAUAUCAGGAGGAACACCGAUGGCGAAGGCAGGUCUCUGGGCCACUACUGACGCUGAGAAGCGAAAGCGUGGGGAGCGAACAGG
This 253-nucleotide ribosomal RNA is filed under the name uncultured bacterium. Its description in RNAcentral is "partial 16S ribosomal RNA". It matches the Rfam family "Bacterial small subunit ribosomal RNA", at positions 524 to 776 of the family's 1533-position model. The record is from RNAcentral.